This 441-nucleotide ribosomal RNA is filed under the name uncultured bacterium. RNAcentral describes it as "partial 16S ribosomal RNA". It matches the Rfam family "Bacterial small subunit ribosomal RNA", at positions 338 to 795 of the family's 1533-position model. The record is from RNAcentral.
CCUACGGGUGGCAGCAGUGGGGAAUAUUGCACAAUGGGGGAAACCCUGAUGCAGCAACGCCGCGUGAGUGAAGAAGUAUUUCGGUAUGUAAAGCUCUAUCAGCAGGGAAGAAGAAAGACGGUACCUGACUAAGAAGCCCCGGCUAACUACGUGCCAGCAGCCGCGGUAAUACGGAGGGGGCAAGCGUUAUCCGGAUUUACUGGGUGUAAAGGGAGCGUAGACGGCUGUGCAAGUCUGAAGUGAAAGCCCGUGGCUCAACCGCGGAACUGCUUGGGAAACUGUAUAGCUUGAGUACUGGAGAGGAAGGCGGAAUUCCUAGUGUAGCGGUGAAAUGCGUAGAUAUAUGGAGGAACACCAGUGGCGAAGGCGACGAUCUGGGAAGAAACAGACGCUGAGUCCCGAAAGCGUGGGGAGCAAAUAGGAUUAGAUACCCCAGUAGUC